This 75-nucleotide transfer RNA is filed under the name Candidatus Gastranaerophilales bacterium. RNAcentral's name for it is "tRNA-Gly". It matches the Rfam family "tRNA". From Rfam's summary of the family: Transfer RNA (tRNA) molecules are approximately 80 nucleotides in length. Their secondary structure includes four short double-helical elements and three loops (D, anti-codon, and T loops). Further hydrogen bonds mediate the characteristic L-shaped molecular structure. tRNAs have two regions of fundamental functional importance: the anti-codon, which is responsible for specific mRNA codon recognition, and the 3' end, to which the tRNAs corresponding amino acid is attached (by aminoacyl-tRNA synthetases). tRNAs cope with the degeneracy of the genetic code in two manners: having more than one tRNA (with a specific anti-codon) for a particular amino acid; and 'wobble' base-pairing, i.e. permitting non-standard base-pairing at the 3rd anti-codon position. The record is from RNAcentral. Lineage: Bacteria; Bacillati; Candidatus Melainabacteria; Candidatus Gastranaerophilales. RNAcentral also lists the same sequence under 1 other name.
GCGAGAGUAAUUCAGUGGUAGAAUGCUUCCUUGCCAAGGAAGAUGUCGCGAGUUCGAGCCUCGUCUCUCGCUCCA